AUAUCAAUAAGCGGAGGAAAAGAAACCAACAGGGAUUGCCUCAGUAACGGCGAGUGAAGCGGCAUCAGCUCAGAUUUGAAAGCCGGCGCUUGCGCCUGCAUUGUAAUCUGCAGAGGAAUGUUCGGUCGCGGGAUGGGCGCAAGUCUUUUGGAAUAAAGCGCACGAUAGGGUGAGAGCCCCGUAUCCGCCUCGACCCAAGACCGUUUGAACAUCCUUCGACGAGUCGAGUUGUUUGGGAAUGCAGCUCAAAACGGGUGGUAAAUUCCAUCUAAAGCUAAAUAUUGGCACGAGACCGAUAGCGAACAAGUACUGUGAAGGAAAGAUGAAAAGCACUUUGAAAAGAGAGUUAAGAGCACGUGAGACCGUUAAAGGGGAAGCGAUUGGAGCUAGCAGUGUGGCGGAGAUGAUCAGCUAGUGGCGGUCUCGCCGGCAGGCUUUGGUAGCGCAAGCACCGGGUUUGUCGUCAUGGGGCUGUCCACUGGUGUACUCUUUUCCGUUGCAGGUCAACAUCGGUUUUCCGGUGCGGGUAAAAGCAGUCGGGGAGGUAAUCAGCUUCGGCUGAUGUUAAAACCGAUUGUGCUA
This 582-nucleotide ribosomal RNA is filed under the name uncultured fungus. Its description in RNAcentral is "eukaryotic LSU rRNA". It matches the Rfam family "Eukaryotic large subunit ribosomal RNA", at positions 40 to 574 of the family's 3401-position model. Lineage: Eukaryota; Fungi. The record is from RNAcentral.